Non-coding RNA from Podarcis lilfordi (Lilford's wall lizard), 82 nucleotides. Lineage: Eukaryota; Metazoa; Chordata; Lepidosauria; Squamata; Lacertidae. The record is from the annotation of a GenBank genome assembly.
GGUGUAGCUCAGUGGGAUCUGAGCAUCUUCUUUGUGUGGAGAAGGUGCCUGGUUCAAUCCUCAACAUCUCCAGGUAGGACUG